ACCUGCGGAAGGAUCAUUAUUGAAUAACUUGGUGUUGACCUGGCCCUAUUGGGCAUGUGCUCGCAUCAUAUUAUUUAUCUAUCUCUUGUGCACCUUUUGUAGUCUUUGAAGUGUUCGCAGUCAAUGCGGUUUGGGGUUUGGGCUUUUGCAGUCCUUUCCCUGUUUGCUUCAAAGGCUAUGUUUUAUACACACUAUUUGAAGUUACAGAAUGUCUCUUAUUGACCUUUUGAGUCAGUAAAUCAAUACAACUUUCAGCAACGGAUCUCUUGGCUCUCCCAUCGAUGAAGAACGCAGCGAAAUGCGAUAAGUAAUGUGAAUUGCAGAAUUCAGUGAAUCAUCGAAUCUUUGAACGCACCUUGCGCCCUUUGGUAUUCCGAAGGGCAUGCCUGUUUGAGUGUCAUUAAAUUCUCAACCUUGCAAGCUUUUUUGCUAGUGAGGCUUGGAUGUGAGGGCUUUUGCUGGCUUCCUUCAUUGGAUGGUCUGCUCCCUUUAAAUUCAUUAGUGGAUUCCUUUGUGGAUGGUCACUUGGUGUGAUAAUUAUCUACGCCGCCUGACUCUGACGCAAGACUUGUGGGGACCUGCUUAUAACCGUCUCUUUCAAGAGACAAUCUACAUUGACUAUUUGACCUCAAAUCAGGUAGGACUACCCGCUGAACUUAAGCAUAUCAAUAAGCGGAGGAAAAGAAACUAACAAGGAUUCCCCUAGUAACUGCGAGUGAAGCGGGAAAAGCUCAAAUUUAAAAUCUGGCGGUUU
Molecule: ribosomal RNA, 754 nt
Filed under: Mycena rosella
Lineage: Eukaryota; Fungi; Basidiomycota; Agaricomycetes; Agaricales; Mycenaceae
Description: eukaryotic LSU rRNA
Rfam family: 5.8S ribosomal RNA (bases 247-400)
Source: RNAcentral